RNAcentral lists this non-coding RNA (31 nucleotides) under Mus musculus (house mouse). The record is from RNAcentral. Lineage: Eukaryota; Metazoa; Chordata; Mammalia; Rodentia; Muridae.
UGAAGCUAAUCAUUGCUUUAACACAGAGCCU